CACAGCAGCUUGCUCUCCUGGCUGGCUUCCCGCACCACCUGCAGCGCCACCCCGCGGCCGCCCGUGGCCUGGGACUGUGAAUAUCCUGGACUUGUCAGGGUAGAUGGGCUAGGAUUCUAGAGCCUAGAAUCAAUGCAAUACUCCCUGGACCGCUGCUUUGCUGUUGUUAAUCCUGCUGACCUCAACUUUCUAGGACUUCAGGCCAUUUUCCAUGGAUUUCAGCAGUUAUCUAGUGAGGGAGAAUGAGACAGCUAUAAAGAUACCAGCCACUGAACACUCCAUCAAGGGAUCCCACAGAAGACACAUCCCUCCAUUACUUGCUUCUUGGUUCAUACCAAAACCAGGGAACUAAAGAAUCAUCAAGGGCCCCUGGAGGUUGCUCUCAUGUGAAUGUCCAAAGCACUGGAGCAGUGUUGUCCAAUACAUUCUGUGAUGAUGCCGUGUAUACAGUGAUGUGCCCUGUCUAUGCACUGACCAAUACAGUGUAGCUACUGUGCCCUUGGAAUGUGGCUGGUGGGACAGCAGAACCGAAGUUUUGGCUGUAAUCAUUUUAAUUAAUUAAAAUAAAAUUGCCACACAUG
This 581-nucleotide non-coding RNA is filed under the name Pan troglodytes (chimpanzee). Lineage: Eukaryota; Metazoa; Chordata; Mammalia; Primates; Hominidae. The record is from RNAcentral.